GGAAUCUUCCGCAAUGGACGAAAGUCUGACGGAGCAACGCCGCGUGAGUGAUGAAGGUUUUCGGAUCGUAAAGCUCUGUUGUUAGGGAAGAACAAGUGCCGUUCGAAUAGGGCGGCACCUUGACGGUACCUAACCAGAAAGCCACGGCUAACUACGUGCCAGCAGCCGCGGUAAUACGUAGGUGGCAAGCGUUGUCCGGAAUUAUUGGGCGUAAAGGGCUCGCAGGCGGUUUCUUAAGUCUGAUGUGAAAGCCCCCGGCUCAACCGGGGAGGGUCAUUGGAAACUGGGGAACUUGAGUGCAGAAGAGGAGAGUGGAAUUCCACGUGUAGCGGUGAAAUGCGUAGAGAUGUGGAGGAACACCAGUGGCGAAGGCGACUCUCUGGUCUGUAACUGACGCUGAGGAGCGAAAGCGUGGGGAGCGAACAGGAUUAGAUACCCUGGUAGUCCACGCCGUAAACGAUGAGUGCUAAGUGUUAGGGGGUUUCCGCCCCUUAGUGCUGCAGCUAACGCAUUAAGCACUCCGCCUGGGGAGUACGGUCGCAAGACUGAAACUCAAAGGAAUUGACGGGGGCCCGCACAAGCGGUGGAGCAUGUGGUUUAAUUCGAAGCAACGCGAAGAACCUUACCAGGUCUUGACAUCCUCUGACAAUCCUAGAGAUAGGACGUCCCCUUCGGGGGCAGAGUGACAGGUGGUGCAUGGUUGUCGUCAGCUCGUGUCGUGAGAUGUUGGGUUAAGUCCCGCAACGAGCGCAACCCUUGAUCUUAGUUGCCAGCAUUCAGUUGGGCACUCUAAGGUGACUGCCGGUGACAAACCGGAGGAAGGUGGGGAUGACGUCAAAUCAUCAUGCCCCUUAUGACCUGGGCUACACACGUGCUACAAUGGACAGAACAAAGGGCAGCGAAACCGCGAGGUUAAGCCAAUCCCACAAAUCUGUUCUCAGUUCGGAUCGCAGUCUGCAACUCGACUGCGUGAAGCUGGAAUCGCUAGUAAUCGCGGAUCAG
RNAcentral lists this ribosomal RNA (1002 nucleotides) under Bacillus sp. (in: firmicutes). RNAcentral describes it as "bacterial SSU rRNA". It matches the Rfam family "Bacterial small subunit ribosomal RNA", at positions 358 to 1352 of the family's 1533-position model. Lineage: Bacteria; Bacillati; Bacillota; Bacilli; Caryophanales; Bacillaceae. The record is from RNAcentral.